AUUUAAAUAGUUUAAAGAAAAUAAAGAAUUGUGAUUUCUUAGAUAUAUUUACUUAUUUUAAAUU
This 64-nucleotide transfer RNA is filed under the name Krisna rufimarginata. RNAcentral describes it as "tRNA-His". Lineage: Eukaryota; Metazoa; Arthropoda; Insecta; Hemiptera; Cicadellidae. The record is from RNAcentral.